RNAcentral lists this ribosomal RNA (2295 nucleotides) under Lactiplantibacillus plantarum. RNAcentral describes it as "bacterial LSU rRNA". It matches the Rfam family "Bacterial large subunit ribosomal RNA", at positions 1 to 2297 of the family's 2925-position model. Lineage: Bacteria; Bacillati; Bacillota; Bacilli; Lactobacillales; Lactobacillaceae. The record is from RNAcentral.
UGAGGUUAAGUUAACAAGGGCGCAUGGUGAAUGCCUUGGCACUAGGAGCCGAUGAAGGACGGGACUAACACCGAUAUGCUUCGGGGAGCUGUACGUAAGCUAUGAUCCGGAGAUUUCCGAAUGGGGCAACCCAGCAGUUUUAAUCAACUGUUACCACUAGAUGAAUUCAUAGUCUAGUUGGAGGUAAACGCUGUGAACUGAAACAUCUCAUUAGCAGCAGGAAUAUAAAGAAAUUUCGAUUCCCUAAGUAGCGGCGAGCGAACGGGGAACAGCCCAAACCAAAGUGCUUGCACUUUGGGGUUGUAGGACUGAACAUUUGAGUUACCAAAGAACUUGAUAGUCGAAGGAUUUGGGAAAAUCCGCCAUAGAUGGUGAUAGCCCAGUAGAUUAAAUCAAAUUCUCUCAGUUCAGGAUCCUGAGUACGGCGGAACACGUGAAAUUCCGUCGGAAUCCGGGAGGACCAUCUCCCAAGGCUAAAUACUACCUAGUGACCGAUAGUGAACCAGUACCGUGAGGGAAAGGUGAAAAGCACCCCGGGAGGGGAGUGAAAUAGUUCCUGAAACCAUGUGCCUACAAUAAGUCAGAGCGCGUUAAUGCGUGAUGGCGUGCCUUUUGUAGAAUGAACCGGCGAGUUAUGAUCCCGUGCAAGGUUAAGACUAAAAAGUCGGAGCCGUAGCGAAAGCGAGUCUGAAAUGGGCGUUUUGAGUACGAGGUUAUAGACCCGAAACCAGGUGACCUAUCCAUGUCCAGGUUGAAGGUGCGGUAAAACGCACUGGAGGACCGAACCCGUGUAAGUUGAAAAUUGCUGGGAUGAGGUGUGGAUAGCGGUGAAAUUCCAAACGAACUUGGAGAUAGCUGGUUCUCUCCGAAAUAGCUUUAGGGCUAGCCUCGGAAUUAGGAUCAUGGAGGUAGAGCACUAUUUGGACUAGGGGCCCGUCUUGGGUUACUGAAUUCAGAUAAACUCCGAAUGCCAUUGAUUCAUAUCCGGGAGUCAGACGAUGAGUGAUAAGAUCCACCGUCGAAAGGGGAACAGCCCAGACCAUCAGUUAAGGUCCCUAAAUGUAUGCUAAGUGGAAAAGGAUGUGGAGUUGCAUAGACAACUAGGAUGUUGGCUCAGAAGCAGCCACCAUUUAAAGAGUGCGUAAUAGCUCACUAGUCGAGUGAUCCUGCGCCGAAAAUGUACCGGGGCUAAGCAUACUACCGAAACCAUGGAUGCGACCAUUAGGUCGCGUGAUAGGAGAGCGUUCUAAGGGCGGUGAAGCAAGAUCGUGAGGACUUGUGGAGCGCUUAGAAGUGAGAAUGCCGGUAUGAGUAGCGAAAGAUAGGUGAGAAUCCUAUCCACCGAAUGACUAAGGUUUCCUGGGGAAGGCUCGUCCUCCCAGGGUUAGUCGGGACCUAAGUCGAGGCCGAGAGGCGUAGACGAUGGAUAACAGGUUGAGAUUCCUGUACUAGUUAAGUGCGUUUGAGCAAUGGAGGGACGCAGGAGGCUAAGAUGUGCAUUCUGUUGGAUUAGAAUGUCCAAGCAGUAAGUCUUGUGAAGAGUCAAAUGCUUUUCACUUUAAGGACAAGCUGUGAUGGGGAGCGAAAUUUAGUAGCGAAGCGUCUGAUGUCACACUGCCGAGAAAAGCUUCUAGUGAGUACUUAACUACCCGUACCGCAAACCGACACAGGUAGUCGAGGAGAGAAUCCUAAGGUGAGCGAGUGAACUCUCGUUAAGGAACUCGGCAAAAUGACCCCGUAACUUCGGGAGAAGGGGUGCUGAUCGCAAGAUCAGCCGCAGUGAAUAGGCCCAGGCGACUGUUUAUCAAAAACACAGGUCUCUGCAAAAUCGUAAGAUGACGUAUAGGGGCUGACGCCUGCCCGGUGCUGGAAGGUUAAAAGGAUGGGUUAGCUUCGGCGAAGCUCAGAAUUGAAGCCCCAGUAAACGGCGGCCGUAACUAUAACGGUCCUAAGGUAGCGAAAUUCCUUGUCGGGUAAGUUCCGACCCGCACGAAAGGCGUAACGAUCUGGGCACUGUCUCAACGAGAGACUCGGUGAAAUUAUAUUGUCCGUGAAGAUGCGGACUACCCGCGACAGGACGGAAAGACCCCAUGGAGCUUUACUGUAGCUUGAUAUUGAGUGUUUGUACAGCUUGUACAGGAUAGGUAGGAGCCAUAGAAACCGGAACGCUAGUUUCGGUGGAGGCGUUGGUGGGAUACUACCCUCGCUGUAUGACCACUCUAACCCGCACCACUAAUCGUGGUGGGAGACAGUGUCAGGUGGGCAGUUUGACUGGGGCGGUCGCCUCCUAAAAAG